This 259-nucleotide unclassified non-coding RNA is filed under the name Hypogymnia sp. Its description in RNAcentral is "partial contains 5.8S ribosomal RNA, internal transcribed spacer 2, and large subunit ribosomal RNA". The stretch from base 1 to 52 matches the Rfam family "5.8S ribosomal RNA", at positions 103 to 154 of the family's 154-position model. Lineage: Eukaryota; Fungi; Ascomycota; Lecanoromycetes; Lecanorales; Parmeliaceae. RNAcentral also lists the same sequence under 1 other name. The record is from RNAcentral.
AACGCACAUUGCGCCCCUCGGUAUUCCGGGGGGCAUGCCUGUUCGAGCGUCAUUACACCCCUCAAGCGUAGCUUGGUAUUGGGCGUCGUCAUCCUGCGGGGGACGUGCCCCAAAAUCAGUGGCGGUCCGGUGCGACUUCAAGCGUAGUAAAUCUAUCCCGCUUUGGAAGCCUUCGCCCCGCGGCCUGCCAGCAACCUUCACCAUCGUGAAAUUUUCAAUGAUUGACCUCGGAUCAGGUAGGGAUACCCGCUGAACUUAA